UACGAAGGGGGCUAGCGUUGCUCGGAAUCACUGGGCGUAAAGCGCACGUAGGCGGAUUGCUAAGUCAGGGGUGAAAUCCUGGAGCUCAACUCCAGAACUGCCUUUGAUACUGGCGACCUUGAGUCCGGGAGAGGUGAGUGGAACUGCGAGUGUAGAGGUGAAAUUCGUAGAUAUUAGGAAGAACACCAGUGGCGAAGGCGGCUCACUGGCCCGGUACUGACGCUGAGGCGCGAAAGCGUGGGGAGCAAACAGGG
Molecule: ribosomal RNA, 254 nt
Filed under: uncultured bacterium
Lineage: Bacteria
Description: partial 16S ribosomal RNA
Rfam family: Bacterial small subunit ribosomal RNA
Source: RNAcentral